Bos taurus (domestic cattle) is the source of this 1091-nucleotide long non-coding RNA. The record is from Ensembl. NCBI's taxonomy places the organism in Eukaryota, Metazoa, Chordata, Mammalia, Artiodactyla, Bovidae.
GUGUGUGCACGUGCUGCUGGUCUUGUGGGACCACACAGCCUCUCAGAGGAGCUGCCAUCCAGUGGCCGAGUCAGGGCAGCUGCAGCCAGCAGGAGGAGCUGAUGGGCAUCAUUGCUGCCCAAGGCCUCCAGGGCCACUUAAUCCUACAACCCCCGAGCCUUCGAGCUGGGUUGGUUAACCUUGCUUUGAAGAAAAUGCAUUAUAUCUCAGGCCUGGGGUCAGGAGGCUACUGGGAGAAGACCCUGGUCUCUGAGCCACCUGAAGGUGCCCUUUGCCCAGAUGGGGUAGGAGAGACGUUCCCAGUGGUCCUGCAUCAGGGCCCAGGCUCCCCUCCCAGAGCGUGUGACCAGCAAGGGGCCCCUAAAUCAUCAGUGAAAAUGCUUUGGACAGGAGAGGAAGGACCUUCAGAAGCCAGUAGCCUAUCCAGGAGCCGAAAGAACAGAAGCACUCUGGGUGUGUCCCGGCCUCCUGACUCGUGACUGCUGCGCGGGGGUCCAGAAUCAUGGAUCUUACAGGGGCUCAUCCUUUGUCGUGAGCCUUGUUCUCACGGCCUGCCUGAAGUCCGACGCCCAGAGGCUGGCGGAAGCUGCUGGGUCCACGGCUGCCGAAGGAGGAGCUGGAACGUGAACGCCGGCAGAACUUUGCCCAUGUCUGAGAUUUCUAGAACCUUCUUCCCCCUGCAGGCUUUUGUGCCUUCUGCCCCUUUUGCCUCCCGGCCCUUUGUUUAGUGACUUCCUGCCGGUCCUCGGGUGACCCUUGGACACACUGGGGUGCGCCCCCUGCCGGGGCUGGGACCCUUUUCUGCCUUCCCCAGCCUGUUCUCCGUACCCUAGACUGCGGAGUCUUGGGGCUCGUCACCUCUGUGUCCCCCAACACCAUGCACAGUGGCUCCCCCAGAGCAAGCACUCUAUAAUUUAUUCACUUAAUGAGCAUUUCUGGAUUUAGGGAGUAAUGUGGCUCAGCUGGUAAAGAAUCUGCCUGCAAUGCGGGAGAAGGGAAAGGCUACCCACUCCAGUAGUCUGGCCUGGAGAAUUCCAGGGACUGUAUAGUCCAUGAGGUUGCGAAGAGUCAGACACGACUGAGUGACUUUC